ACAGCAGCCGCCACGGUAAUACAGAGGGUGCGAGCGUUAAUCGGAUUUACUGGGCGUAAAGCGUGCGUAGGCGGCUUCUUAAGUCGGAUGUGAAAUCCCUGAGCUUAACUUAGGAAUUGCAUUCGAUACUGGGAAGCUAGAGUAUGGGAGAGGAUGGUAGAAUUCCAGGUGUAGCGGUGAAAUGCGUAGAGAUCUGUAGGAAUACCGAUGGCGAAGGCAGCCAUCUGGCCUAAUACUGACGCUGAGGUACGAAAGCAUGGGGAGCAAACAGGAUUAGAUACCCCGGUAGUCCCUGUCUCUUAUAC
Molecule: ribosomal RNA, 305 nt
Filed under: uncultured bacterium
Lineage: Bacteria
Description: partial 16S ribosomal RNA
Rfam family: Bacterial small subunit ribosomal RNA
Source: RNAcentral